GAUGAACGCUGGCGGCGUGCCUAAUACAUGCAAGUCGAGCGAACAGAUAAGGAGCUGUCUCCUUUGACGUUAUCGGCGGACGGGUGAGUAACACGUGGUUAACCUACCUAUAAGACUGGGAUAACUUCGGGAAACCGGAGCUAAUACCGGAUAACAUUUGGACCCGCAUUGUUCUAAAGUUAAAGAUGGUUUUUCUUUCACUUAUAGAUGAACCCGCACCGUAUUAGCUAGUUGGUAAGGUAACGGCUUAACAACGCGACGAUACGUAGCCGACCUGAGAGGGUGAUUGGCUACCUGGGAAGUGAGAAAGGGUAGAGACUCCUACGGGAGGACGCAGUAGGGAAUCUUACGGAAUGCGCGAAAGCGUGACGGAGCACAGCCGCGUGAGUGAUGAAGGGUUUAGGCUCGUAAAACGCUGUUAUUAGGGAAGAACAAAUGUGUAAGUAACUGUGAACGUAUUGACGGUACCUAAUCAGAAAGCCACGGCUAACUACGUG
This 497-nucleotide ribosomal RNA is filed under the name uncultured bacterium. RNAcentral's name for it is "partial 16S ribosomal RNA". It matches the Rfam family "Bacterial small subunit ribosomal RNA", at positions 28 to 507 of the family's 1533-position model. The record is from RNAcentral.